GGCUGAUGACACAGCACAUGAGGUCGAUACAUUCUGAAGGAGCUGGAGAAUGGGAAAGUCUGGAAAGCUGGCUAGCCUGGCAACCCUAGGGCAACAGAUCUAUGGCAUCAAAGCAACAGAAAGGACACAAAGUUGAGUUUCUGCCAUGAGCUGCUGUUGCCCAGAUAGGGGGAGUUCUGCAAACCCUUGGCCUGGAAGUGAAAACAGGACCCUCUCGUGCUCAGAGCUGCUGGAAACACAAAUGGCAGUUCCUGGAGCAGCAGAGAGCCCUGGAAGAUAUUGCAUUUGGUGGAGACUGGCAAGGAGCUCCACAGUCUCAUGGGAUAUGCGGACUGUUCAAACUGAAUUCUGUUCAAGACACAGGGCAGAGGAGGUCCUGGGGACAUGGCUUCUGGAAGUGGACAGAUUUCCCACCCCUGGGCUGCCUGAAAAUUCUUGUUCUGCCAAGAAGGUGUGGAGAACCUGAAAGCUGUUUAGAAAGAGGAGA
Long non-coding RNA from Suricata suricatta (meerkat), 487 nucleotides. RefSeq lists it as uncharacterized. Lineage: Eukaryota; Metazoa; Chordata; Mammalia; Carnivora; Herpestidae. The record is from RefSeq and is a predicted model, not a curated record. The transcript is spliced from 3 exons.